Numida meleagris (helmeted guineafowl) is the source of this 477-nucleotide long non-coding RNA. RefSeq lists it as uncharacterized. The record is from RefSeq and is a predicted model, not a curated record. NCBI's taxonomy places the organism in Eukaryota, Metazoa, Chordata, Aves, Galliformes, Numididae. The transcript has 4 exons.
AGAGGGCUCCCAGCUUCCUUCCAGCGUCCUUGGAUGAGACAGAGACAGCAACUUGGCGGAGAGAUAGGAUGAUCACAGCUGUACGGCUGCUCAAGAAGCAUUGCUUUCCAGCAUGAAAGGCGUAGUGUUGAACUGCUAAACUCUUCUCUAUUCCUACGCACCUGUGUCUAUGGGAGACGCAGGUACCUUUGCAGAUCUUGGCCCGCAUCAUUGGAGCAAAUGGGAUGAAGAGGGAGUGCAGGGAAGAGGGGAAGAAGGGGCAGUUGAGAAAGAAGAGCUUUGGAUGGUUCUAAUGCCAUCUAACAACACUGGGGCCUUGCUGAGAAUGUAUUGUAUCUCCCAGAAGACGCUGUUUAACUUACCUUUGGAAAGCACAGUGAAAGGAGUUUCAAGCAUCUCCCAGGACCGUCAAUGCUGUUGCAAUAAUAUAUUAAAUAAACAACGUCACUAUUGUUUGCAAAGGAAACAGAGUUCCAG